This is a ribosomal RNA of 401 nucleotides. It matches the Rfam family "Bacterial small subunit ribosomal RNA", at positions 1138 to 1533 of the family's 1533-position model.
CUCUAGGGAGACUGCCGGUGACAACCCGGAGGAAGGUUGGGACGACGUCAAGUCAUCAUGGCCCUUAUGGGCAGGGCUACACACGUGCUACAAUGGCCGGUACAGAGGGUCGCCAACCCGCGAGGGGGAGCUAAUCCCAGAAAGCCGGUCGUAGUCCGGAUUGGAGUCUGCAACUCGACUCCAUGAAGUCGGAAUCGCUAGUAAUCGCGAAUCAGCAUGUCGCGGUGAAUACGUUCCCGGGCCUUGUACACACCGCCCGUCACACCAUGGGAGUGGGCUGCACCAGAAGCCGGUAGCUUAACCCGCAAGGGAGGGCGCCGUCCACGGUGUGGUUCAUGACUGGGGUGAAGUCGUAACAAGGUAGCCGUAGGGGAACCUGCGGCUGGAUCACCUCCUUUAAA